RNAcentral lists this ribosomal RNA (494 nucleotides) under uncultured bacterium. RNAcentral's name for it is "partial 16S ribosomal RNA". It matches the Rfam family "Bacterial small subunit ribosomal RNA", at positions 28 to 507 of the family's 1533-position model. The record is from RNAcentral.
GACGAACGCUGGCGGCGUGCUUAACACAUGCAAGUCGAACGGUGAAGCGCCUUCCUUUUUGGUGGGUGUGGAUGAGUGGCGAACGGGUGAGUAACACGUGAGUAACCUGCCCCCUUCUUCUGGAUAACCGCAUGAAAGUGUGGCUAAUACGGGAUAUUCUGGGUCUGUCGCAUGAUGGGUUUGGGAAAGUUAUUGUUUCGGUGGGGGAUGGGCUCGCGGCCUAUCAGCUUGUUGGUGGGGUGAUGGCCUACCAAGGCGGUGACGGGUAGCCGGCCUGAGAGGGUGGCCGGUCGAAAUGGGAAUGAGACACGGCGCAGACUCCUACGGGAGGCAGCAGUGGGGAAUAUUGGACGAUGGGCGCAAGGCUGAUGCAGCGACGCCGCGUGAGGGAUGGAGGCCGUCGGGUUGUGAACCUCUUUCGCCAGUGAAGCAGGCCUGCCUCGUUUGUGGGUGGGUUGACGGUAGCUGGAUAAGAAGCGCCGGCUAACUACGUG